CAAAUAAUAAGCGGUCAUAGCUUGUAACACACACAAAAGAAUGGGAACUGUUUCUGUGAGAAAAGAUUGAUAGGGUUGAAAAACAGCCUGUCUAUCAGAAUUGGCGGAACAAUACCAAUUAUACCCAAUGAUGAGUUUAACUCUGUACACAAGAACCACAGGGAAGGGACAUUCCUAUGGAUUAUACCCAAUGAGAUCCACAUAAAACUUGGAAAUACAACUCCAAUCCGAAAGAAUUUAGAGGCAACUGGAAAAACAGCACUGUUAAAAUGUUGAUGAAAUUUUAAGUUUCUUUUGUACUACAUAAGACUUUUGGAAAAGAAAAGUAAUAUGCAAAAUAGGACGAAAGAAGAACUACAGUAAAAUUUGGCAAAACCUGAGAACUAUCUUUAAAAAAAAGCAGAAUACAAAGAAAUAUGUU
Molecule: long non-coding RNA, 421 nt
Organism: Mytilus californianus (California mussel)
Lineage: Eukaryota; Metazoa; Mollusca; Bivalvia; Mytilida; Mytilidae
Exons: 3
Source: RefSeq, a predicted model, not a curated record